UACGUAGGGGGCUAGCGUUGUCCGGAUUUAUUGGGCGUAAAGAGCGUGUAGGCGGCCAUGUAGGUCCGGUGUGAAAACUCGAGGCUUAACCUCGAGAUGUCAUCGGAAACCAUUUGGCUAGAGUCCGGAAGAGGAGAGUGGAAUUCCUGGUGUAGCGGUGAAAUGCGCAGAUAUCAGGAGGAAUACCGGUGGUGUAGACGGCUCUCUGGACCGCCACUGACGCUGAGACACGAAAGCGUGGGUAGCAAACAGG
Molecule: ribosomal RNA, 253 nt
Filed under: uncultured bacterium
Lineage: Bacteria
Description: partial 16S ribosomal RNA
Rfam family: Bacterial small subunit ribosomal RNA
Source: RNAcentral